Molecule: non-coding RNA, 1534 nt
Organism: Lepisosteus oculatus (spotted gar)
Lineage: Eukaryota; Metazoa; Chordata; Actinopteri; Semionotiformes; Lepisosteidae
Source: RefSeq, a predicted model, not a curated record
UGUGCCCUAUGAUGGACUAGUCUCCCAUCCAGGGUGUAUCCCAUCUUGCACCCGUCCCUUGUCGAAAUAGGUUUUGUCUCCCCAGCAACCCUAAAUUGGAUGAAGCUGUUAGAAAAUGGAUAAAGAGCGAGAAAUCUGAGCAAUCCUAUGGGAUUUCCACUAUUAUCUUCAGCAUCUGAUAUCUGCUGGUCAUUCACAGGCACUAGGUAGAUAAGAGGGAGACAUCCUGGAACAGAAAGGCCCAAUUGAUUCAUUCCACGGUGGAGGGAGGAACUGCUUGUUUCUCCUGGUAAUCAAAGUCAAAGACAAGGUCUCUAGUGUGUAUCAUGGUUACGAUCUGGCUCACCCUGUUUUAACCAAGUGGUUAGUGGACGUGGACCGAAAUAAUUCAAAAUGAGAUGACAGAUUGAACUACGUAACUUGACAAUACGUAAAGUACUGUACUUUAAAAUACUUUUCAUAAAUAUGUAAUCUAAUUACUAUUUUUCAUGCAAAAGAUGUUUAGUCUUGUCCUCGUUAAUCUUUCAUCAAUAACCAGUUACACCAGCUGCAGUUAAUAAAGCAACUAUUUAAAAACGGCACCUGAGCUGUCAAAGUUUAUUUUCAGUAGAUGGGAGCAAAUUAGUUUAAAAUUUAUUUAAAUAACUUUAGAAAAUGAACAUUUAUCUUAGGUUGUCUAAGAAAUAGACCAUUAUGUUAUCUUCUGGAAACUGCUCUAUUUCACUUAGAUUGACUGAAAUACCAGAAUGCUUUAUUUUACUGGGAAACUAAUUGGAAACAAUAAAGUAAGAGUUGAAAAUGUUAAUACUUAAAGAGACUUUGAAAAGUUAUGCAAAUGGAAAAAUUCCACACUUCUUAGCUCUCGUCACUGGUCACUGGUUUAAUGGUUGUUUCAAAGUUAUCGAAUUGAACAUGUUCAGCAUUUUCCUUGUCAGAAGCAUGAACACUGCUACAACAAUCUGUGUAUAUACUCCCACUUACCGUCAACUCUAGUCAUAAAUCAAAUGGCAGCGACGCCUCUAGCAACAGCAUGCCUCUACUAAUGCCAAAACUGCAUCAUAUUACUUAAAUUUUACAGAUUACACAAGUUUACAACACAUUGUGUCUUCUGAUUCUGACUAAGAUGGCUAAGAACAGAUUUUCAAAGGUCCUGCUCCUUGCUCUAUAACAGUAUCUCAAACUUAGGCCUGGAUAGCCUUGUGUCUUAGGGUUUUUGUUCCAACCUGAGCAGUCAAUGAAACAAUUAUUAUUAAUAAGACAUAUUCACUGCCUAUUAUACUAAACAUUAUUUUCUUUUAUAGGCACAGCUAGCUAUGAAUCACCUUGGAGCCUGGUUAGAAGUAUUACAGUUAUGCAGCUAAUUAAAUAAUUAGACCUUCUUUGUAAAUAAGAAUGUGAAUGGACCAAAAACACACGACACUAGACCAUCCAGAUUUAGAGUUUAAGACCCCUGCUCUAUGAGUUGCAGCACUUAGCCAAUGAAAAUCCCUGAAAGACUGGCAGGCUUCUCAGGGAUUAAGAACUAUAUAUUGAC